RNAcentral lists this ribosomal RNA (253 nucleotides) under uncultured bacterium. RNAcentral describes it as "partial 16S ribosomal RNA". It matches the Rfam family "Bacterial small subunit ribosomal RNA", at positions 524 to 776 of the family's 1533-position model. The record is from RNAcentral.
UACGAAGGGGGCGAGCGUUGUUCGGAAUUACUGGGCGUAAAGGGCGCGUAGGUGGCUUGGCAAGUUGGGUGUGAAAGCCCAGGGCUCAACCCUGGAAUUGCAUUCAAGACUGCUUUGCUUGAAUUCGGUAGAGGUUGGUGGAAUUCCCAGUGUAGAGGUGAAAUUCGUAGAGAUUGGGAAGAGCACCCGUGGCGAAGGCGGCCAACUGGACCGACAUUGACACUGAGGCGCGAAAGCGUGGGGAUCAAACAGG